GCUGGCAUUGGCGGCGCGUGCCUGUAAUCCCAGCUACUCAGCAGGCUGAGGUGAGAGGAUCGCUUGAGCCCAGGAGUUCUGGGCUACAGAACACUAUGACGAUCGGGUGUCCGCACUAAAUUAGGCAUCCAUAUGGUGACCCUUCGGGAGCGGGGACCACCAGCUUGCCUAAGGAGGGGUGAACAUGACCAGGUUGGAAACGGAGGAGGUCCAAAACUCCCGACGCUGCAUCAGUAGUGAGCGAUCGCACUGUGUAAUAGCCACUGCACUCCAGCCUGGGCAACAAAGCAAGAUGUCCUCUCU
RNAcentral lists this signal recognition particle RNA (303 nucleotides) under Aotus nancymaae (Ma's night monkey). Its description in RNAcentral is "Metazoan signal recognition particle RNA (ENSANAG00000009201.1)". It matches the Rfam family "Metazoan signal recognition particle RNA". Rfam says of the family: The signal recognition particle (SRP) is a universally conserved ribonucleoprotein. It is involved in the co-translational targeting of proteins to membranes. Lineage: Eukaryota; Metazoa; Chordata; Mammalia; Primates; Aotidae. The record is from RNAcentral.